CAACAUACACCCAGCAUUCCAAUUUCCUGCAGCCAUCACUCGUACCCUAAAGUUCCCAUCCCUCUGUGGCUCUGCACCUCUAAAUGACAGGCUCUGGUGCUUCCAUCAAGCGUAUGCCAGUGUCCCCCUGAGCUUCCUCUGGCCGGCGUGCCUGGACCAGGGAGCUGCUUCUUUGCCAGCCAGCUACACACACUUCCAAGGAUGCUGCCGCAGUGUUAUUCCUCCCGCCACCUUUUUGUCAAGAAUAACAUUUUUAAUAAAUGAAUAGCUGCAGAUUCUCUCCAGAAAAAUUAUGGAACUCUCAUCAAAGAACCAUCUCGUAGUGCUUUUGCCUGAAGGUUUGCCUCUGCGGGUGCUUGUGUCACUUACCAGUUUCCUCUGCACUUGAGAAAAUUUGGCUUUCUCAUCUUUGAAUUAUGCCUCUGGAACAGUCAGACGUGCCCUGGGCCUCACAUGGGCAGCAUUAGGGUGGCACAUUUUCCCACAAGAUUAAGGAUUCGACUUGCCACUACACAUCCCUAAAUGACUCAUCAUCUGCUUUAUGUCCCCUUAGUGUAAGAUGUCCCAAGACACAUUGAAGUCCUUUGAGAUGUGAGUAAGCUUUAGCUUAUUCUGCAUCCUCCUACAUCACAGGACAACAAAGACCACCCUGAACUGGUGGUUCUGUGAGUGGGAGCCAUCGCCAGGGGCCUCAGACUAUAAAAAGGUGUCAAGACCGACAGGGCAGAGGAAAGGGCGGUGGAUGUCCAGACCUUGAAGCAGGCCCCAGCAUCUUCCUCAAGAUGCUUGCGAUUGCUGGAAGUCUGAACUCUGAUUUACAGAGGGGGUGUUAUUUACUUCAACAUGAUUGAAAGUGUUCCACAAUCUGUCUAUCUUUGGAUAUGUCUACUCUCCUGGCAUCACACAGAACCAGACACAGCCUAAGGCCUUAUGUUUCCUGUUAACUUAACAACCUGCACAAAUGUCUCUUCUACACAUUAUCAAUGUGUCCUUCAUAGCCGUGUAAUUCGUGAAGCCAUCUCAGCCUGAUCUGAAUAAGCAAAAUCCUGCCAGCUGUGGGACGUGAGGACCCAACUGGUUCGCACAACCAAGCACAGUAUCAAAAUACUCGUCCUAGCCCAGAACGGCAGCUGUUAUACCUUUUGAGGAGU
Molecule: long non-coding RNA, 1151 nt
Organism: Canis lupus familiaris (dog)
Lineage: Eukaryota; Metazoa; Chordata; Mammalia; Carnivora; Canidae
Exons: 3
Source: RefSeq, a predicted model, not a curated record